UGAGAAGAAGGGAGAGGGGGCAAUAUAAGGGUAGGGUAUAAAGCGGUACAAACUACUAUGUAUAAAAUAAGCU
This is a non-coding RNA of Vicugna pacos (alpaca), 73 nucleotides long. The record is from RefSeq and is a predicted model, not a curated record. Lineage: Eukaryota; Metazoa; Chordata; Mammalia; Artiodactyla; Camelidae.